Molecule: ribosomal RNA, 497 nt
Filed under: uncultured bacterium
Lineage: Bacteria
Description: partial 16S ribosomal RNA
Rfam family: Bacterial small subunit ribosomal RNA
Source: RNAcentral
GAUGAACGCUGGCGGCGUGCCUAAUACAUGCAAGUCGAGCGAACGGACGAGACGCUUGCUUCUCUGUUGUUAGCGGAGCACGGGUGAGUAACACGUGGAUCACCUCCCUAUAAGACUGGGAUAUCUUCGGGACACCGGCUCUAAUACCGGAUGAUAUUUUGCACCGCAUGGUUCAAAAGUGAAAGUCGGUCUUGCUGUCACUUCUAGAUGGAUCCGCGCUGCAUUAGCUAGUUGGUAAGUUAACGGCUUUCCACGGCAACGAUGCAUGGACGACCUGAGUGAGGGAUAGGCCACACGAGAGCGGAGACGCGGUCCAUAGGCCUAAGGUAGGCAGCAGUAUGGAACCUGCGGCAGUGGGGGAAAGCCUGACGGAGCAACGCCACGUGAGAGAUGACAGUCUUCGGAGCGUAAAACUCGGUUACUAGGGAUGAACAUAUGUGUAAGUAGCUGUGCACAUCGUGACGGUAACGAGUCAGAAAGCCACGGCUAACUACGUG